GGAGCUUGCUCCUCUGAUUUAGCGGCGGACGGGUGAGUAACACGUGGGUAAUCUGCCUGUAAGACGGGGAUAACUCCGGGAAACCGGGGCUAAUACCGGAUAAUAAGAGAAGAAGCAUUUCUUCUUUUUGAAAGUCGGUUUCGGCUGACACUUACAGAUGAGCCCGCGGCGCAUUAGCUAGUUGGUGAGGUAACGGCUCACCAAGGCGACGAUGCGUAGCCGACCUGAGAGGGUGAUCGGCCACACUGGGACUGAGACACGGCCCAGACUCCUACGGGAGGCAGCAGUAGGGAAUCUUCGGCAAUGGGCGAAAGCCUGACCGAGCAACGCCGCGUGAGCGAUGAAGGCCUUCGGGUCGUAAAGCUCUGUUGUUAGAGAAGAACAAGUACGAGAGUAACUGCUCGUACCUUGACGGUACCUAACCAGAAAGCCACGGCUAACUACGUGCCAGCAGCCGCGGUAAUACGUAGGUGGCAAGCGUUAUCCGGAAUUAUUGGGCGUAAAGCGCGCGCAGGCGGUCUCUUAAGUCUGAUGUGAAAGCCCACGGCUCAACCGUGGAGGGUCAUUGGAAACUGGGAGACUUGAGUGCAGGAGAGAAAAGUGGAAUUCCACGUGUAGCG
This 620-nucleotide ribosomal RNA is filed under the name Fictibacillus phosphorivorans. RNAcentral's name for it is "bacterial SSU rRNA". It matches the Rfam family "Bacterial small subunit ribosomal RNA", at positions 75 to 680 of the family's 1533-position model. The record is from RNAcentral. Lineage: Bacteria; Bacillati; Bacillota; Bacilli; Caryophanales; Fictibacillaceae.